RNAcentral lists this ribosomal RNA (1333 nucleotides) under metagenome. Its description in RNAcentral is "bacterial LSU rRNA". It matches the Rfam family "Bacterial large subunit ribosomal RNA", at positions 1566 to 2912 of the family's 2925-position model. The record is from RNAcentral.
CUAUUAUUCUCCGUAAGGGGUUUAGUAGCUAAUGAUGUCAAACUUCCAAGAAAAGCUCUAACAUCAAUACAACAGAAUUCCUGUACCUGAAACCGACACAGGUAGGUUGGUAGAGAAUACCAAGGGGCGCGAGAGAACUCUCUCUAAGGAACCCGGCAAACUGGCCCCGUAACUUCGGAAGAAGGGGCACCCUCUGCAAAGGGGGUCGCAGUGACCAGGCCCUUGCAACUGUUUAUCAAAAACACAGGUCUCCGCAAAGUCGUAAGACGAUAUAUGGGGGCUGACGCCUGCCCAGUGCCGGAAGGUUAAAGAAGUUGGUCAUUACGUAAGUAAAAAGCUGACGACUGAAGCCCCGGUGAACGGCGGCCGUAACCAUAACGGUCCUAAGGUAGCGAAAUUCUUUGUCGAGUAAGUUUCGACCUGCACGAAAGGCGUAAUGAUAAGGGCGCUGUCUCAGAGAGAGACUCGGUGAAAUAGACUUGUCCGUGAAGAUGCGGACUACCUGCACCUGGACAGAAAGACCCUAUGAAGCUUGACUGUAUCCUGGAAUGGGGUUUGGGCUUUUCUUGCGCAGCCUAGGUGGGAGGCUAUGAAGGUGUUCUUCCGGGAACGCCAGAGCCGUCAUUGAGAGACCACUCUGGAAGAGCUAGAAUCCUAAUGGUGAUCCUUGAAUCAGGACGCUUGACAGUUUCAGGUGGACAGUUUUACUGGGGCGGUAGCCUCAUAAACGGUAACUGAGGCGUGCAAAGGUUCUCUCAGCCUGGACGGAAAUCAGGCAUAGAGUGUAAAGGCAGAAGAGAGCUUGACUGCAAGACCUACAAGUCGAGCAGGGGCGAAAGCCGGUCUUAGUAUCCGACGGUGCCGUGUGGAAGGGCCGUCGCUCAACGGAUAAAAGUUACUCUAAGGAUAACAGGCUGAUCUUCCCCAAGAGUCCACAUCGACGGGAAGGUUUGGCACCUCGAUGUCGGCUCAUCACAUCCUCGAUCUGCAGUAGGUUCGAAGGGUUGGGCUGUUCGCCCAUUAAAGUGGUACGUGAGCUGGGUUCAAAACGUCGUGAGACAGUUUGGUCCAUAUCCGGUGUAGGCGUUAGAGUAUUGAGAGGAUUUGCACCUCGUACGAGAGGACCGGUGUGAACGCGUCUAUAGUGUACCAGUUCUCAUUCCAAUGGGAAACGCUGGGUAGCCACGCGCGGGUAGAUUAGCGCUGAAAGCAUCUAAGUGCGAAGCUAACCUCAAGAUGAGUACUCUCCAUUAGGUCGCGGCAAGACCAGCCGUUUGAUAGGCGUCAAGUGUAAGGUCAGCAAUGGCUUCAGCUGAGGCGUACUAAAGACCAA